Molecule: ribosomal RNA, 253 nt
Filed under: uncultured bacterium
Lineage: Bacteria
Description: partial 16S ribosomal RNA
Rfam family: Bacterial small subunit ribosomal RNA
Source: RNAcentral
GACGUAGGGCGCGAGCGUUGUCCGGAUUUAUUGGGCGUAAAGAGCUCGUAGGCGGCUCAUUGCGUCAACCGUGAAAACCUGCCGCUCAACGGUAGGCUUGCGGUUGAUACGGGUGGGCUGGAGUUCGGUAGGGGCAGAGGGAAUUUCCGGUGGAGCGGUGAAAUGCAUUGAGAUCGGAAAGAACACCAACGGCGAAAGCACUCUGCUGGGCCGACACUGACACUGAGAGACGAAAGCUAGGGGAGCAAAUGGG